This 301-nucleotide ribosomal RNA is filed under the name uncultured bacterium. Its description in RNAcentral is "partial 16S ribosomal RNA". It matches the Rfam family "Bacterial small subunit ribosomal RNA", at positions 509 to 808 of the family's 1533-position model. The record is from RNAcentral.
CAGCAGCCACGGUAAUACAGAGGAUGCGAGAGUUAUUCGGAAUGAUUGGCGUAAAGCGUCUGUAGGUGGCUUUUCAAGUCCGCCGUCAAAUCCCAGGGCUCAACCCUGGACAGGCGAUGGAAACUACCAAGCUGGAUUACGGUAGGGGCAGAGGGAAUGUCAGGUGGAGCGGUGAAAUGCGUUGAGAUCGGAAAGAACACCAACGACAAAAGCAUUCUGUUGGGCCGAAACUGACACUGAGAGACGAAAGCUAGGGGAGCAAAUGGGAUUAGAUACCCCCGUAGUCCCUGUCUCUUAUACA